GUUGUGGCUCAGUGGUAGCGCACUUGCCUGGCAUGAGUGAGGUGCUGGGUUCGAUUCUCAGCACACA
This 67-nucleotide transfer RNA is filed under the name Marmota monax (woodchuck). RNAcentral's name for it is "tRNA.Ala". The record is from RNAcentral. Lineage: Eukaryota; Metazoa; Chordata; Mammalia; Rodentia; Sciuridae.